CCAAGGCGAAACCGCGAAUGGCUCAUUAAAUCAGUUAUGGUUCAUUGGAUCUUACCCUGUCCUACUCGGAUAACUGUGGUAAUUCUAGAGCUAAUACGUGCAUCCCAGCCCCGACCGCAAGGGAAGGGCGCUUUUAUUAGAACAAGACCAAUCGGGCUUCGGUCCGUCCUCGCUGUGGUGACUCUGGAUAACUUUGAGCUGAGCGCACGGUCUUCGCGCCGGCGCCGCGUCCUUCAAGUGUCUGCCUUAUCAGCUGUCGAUUGUAGGCCACGCGCCUACAGUGGCUAUAACGGGUAACGGGGAAUCAGGGUUCGAUUCCGGAGAGGGAGCCUGAGAGACGGCUACCACAUCUAAGGAAGGCAGCAGGCACGCAAAUUACCCACUCCCGGCACGGGGAGGUAGUGACGAAAAAUAACGAUGCGGGACUCUUCCGAGGCCUCGCAAUCGGAAUGAGUACACUUUAAAUCCUUUAACCAGGAUCUAUUGGAGGGCAAGUCUGGUGCCAGCAGCCGCGGUAAUUCCAGCUCCAAUAGCGUAUAUUAAAGUUGCUGCGGUUAAAAAGCUCGUAGUUGGAUCUCAGUUCCGGACCGACGGUUCACCGCCCGGUGCCUACCGUCGGCUUCCGAACGGCCGCUACGCCGGCUCGGCCGGGGUGCUCUUCAUCGGGUGUCCCGGCGCGGCCGGCACGUUUACUUUGAAAAA
RNAcentral lists this ribosomal RNA (702 nucleotides) under Arkaroolabathynella bispinosa. Its description in RNAcentral is "SSU rRNA". It matches the Rfam family "Eukaryotic small subunit ribosomal RNA", at positions 76 to 764 of the family's 1831-position model. Lineage: Eukaryota; Metazoa; Arthropoda; Malacostraca; Bathynellacea; Parabathynellidae. The record is from RNAcentral.